CUUUGUAGUCCACCAUUAGAGCCACAGCUAUAGCAACAACAAGGCUGUGCCCAGCCACUCAGUGAGGUCUCAGGGAUGACACACCGAUGGGUCAUCCGUGCAAGUGAAGGAGAGGCUCCUGGGACACGAGACACAAGGUCAGUGGCAGCAAGGGACAAUAACAGUGUUGAGGGCUGAGCUAGGUAUCACUCAGAGGUGGACUUGAUGUUGGGGAUGUCAGGCUUGCUUGACACUGGCCUGGGGGUGGGGGGGUGGGGGGUGGGAGUGGUGGCAUUCUGGGACAGGCAAAGCAAAAAGGCAUCUCGAGUAGUGAGGAGCUGAGCCAACCCAGGGAGAGCAAGCAGGUGUCAGCCGAGCCAGUGGCUGAUGGUGUGGACUGCGGUAGCAGACAGCUGGGUUUAAGACCCGGGCACAAUGGAGGAUUCUCUUCAUUUUCCUAUGCCUGUUUCUUCACAAAAGGGAAGUGACCACCUUCUGAGGAGAGCACCUUUGUCUUAAAGCCAAGGACGCGAUCCCACCAUCCAUGUCAAGGGCACUCUCUCUGAUCCAGGCAGGAAGCAGACCUAUUUAUAGACUAAGUUAUGUGCUGGUCUAGAUCAUCAAUACAUUGCUGCUAUUA
This 619-nucleotide long non-coding RNA is filed under the name Mus pahari (shrew mouse). RNAcentral's name for it is "lncRNA (MGP_PahariEiJ_G0005359.1)". The record is from RNAcentral. Lineage: Eukaryota; Metazoa; Chordata; Mammalia; Rodentia; Muridae.